UAAUUAUAUACAGCUUUCUAUAAACAUAUCAAAUAGUAAAUAUAUAUUCCUACAAAAUUUACCUUUUUUUUAUUUAUUUCUGCAAAAGUUAAGUAAUAUUUAUAUUUGUCCUUCGGGUAUGUUACCGUUAGAACGCUCUAUUUAUUUUUUAACAGAGUAUAAGUAAAAUGAUAUUUUUACCUUCUAAAAUGAUCCGCUAACAGUUCCCACCCUUAGGCGGAAUAGGGGUGGAAACAAACAGUUUCUACCCGUAUUUUGUUUAAAUUUAAAAUUUAAAAAUUUUAAUUUUAAUUUGAAAUUUUAAAUAUUUAUAACUUAUAAUUUUAAAAUUAAAGCUUAUAAUUUUAAAUUCUAAAUUUUGAAUUUUAAUUUGAUAUUUUAUAUUUUUUAAAUUUAAAAUUUCAUAUUUUAUAAUUUCUUAAAUUUAAAUUUUAAAAUCUAAAGCUUAAAAUUUAAAAUUUAAAAUUUAAAAUUUAAAAUUUAAAAUUUAAAAUUAAAAAUAUAAAAUGUAAGAUUUAAGAUAUUAAGAUUUUAAAAUUUAAAAUUUAUAAUUUAUAAUUUUGAAAUUUAUAAUUUAUAAUUUUGAAAUUUAAAAUUUGAGAGUUUAAUUUUAAAUUUUAAUUUCAGAUUUUAAAAUUUAAAAAUUAAAAUUUUUAAUUUUAAAAAAAUUAAAAUUUCAAAAUUCAAAUAUAACGAGAGAAAUAAUAUCAAUUUUCUACUUAUAACUUCCCACUAUUCUUCUUAUUCCAUAUUUUUUAUCCAAACGUUAUUUUUCUUACUCCUGGGAGCAACCAAUUUUCAUCCAAACACAAAAUCAAUCUAGUUCUUGCUUAUACCUAAACUUGUACCUAUUCCUGAAAUAAGCAGUUCUUACUUAUAUCUGAGCCAAACAAAACUUAUAGAAAUAUAUCUACUAUUCGAUAUGUUUACAGGAAACUGUAUGCAAUUAGCCCAAAUUUGUUAAAUCUAAGUCCCUUAAGUCUCAAGUUUAAAAUCUAAAUAUUUCAUAUUUUCAAUUAUAUAUAUAAUGAUUAUAAAUAAAUAUGUAUAUAGUUUUUUAUUAAAUAUAAUAGAGAGCACUAUAAUUAUAAAUAAUUUUUU
This 1101-nucleotide long non-coding RNA is filed under the name Ananas comosus (pineapple). RNAcentral describes it as "long non-coding RNA (ACOM_LNC036153)". Lineage: Eukaryota; Viridiplantae; Streptophyta; Magnoliopsida; Poales; Bromeliaceae. The record is from RNAcentral.